Molecule: non-coding RNA, 98 nt
Filed under: Paenibacillus illinoisensis
Lineage: Bacteria; Bacillati; Bacillota; Bacilli; Caryophanales; Paenibacillaceae
Source: RNAcentral
AUAAACCCGACAUAUGCACUCUUCCGGCACAGGUUGGCGUAUCUUCCCCAAUCCCAGGCUGCAAUGCCGGCAGGGGGCAGUUUGUACAUAUACGUUUU